UUUUUUUUUUUUUUAAAAUAAAAAAGACCAAGAACCAAAAAAAAAAAAAAAAAAAAAACCCACCCAAAAACUUGGCCAUGGAACAAGCGGCCAGUGGAGGAUCAGCUUUUGUCGCUGGCCUUCUGAAGAAACAGAUCUCUAACUGAGGUACUGCCUGUCGUUAUGGUCAUAGUGAGAAUAAAAUGAAGGUCUAUAUAAGUAUUCUGUGCUGGGUGAACAAAAUACCUUGAGGCUGGAGGAAUGGGUUGGAUCAGAUUAGCUGUUGUCUUCCAGAGGAUCCGGGUUAGAGUCUCCGCAACCAUGUGGCGGUUCACAGUUGUCUGUAAUGCCAGCUCCAGGGAACCUAGUACCCUCUUCCAGCCUCUCUGACACACACACACACACACACACACACACACACAGAUUAAAAAAG
This 412-nucleotide long non-coding RNA is filed under the name Mus musculus (house mouse). Its description in RNAcentral is "long non-coding RNA chr10:128307372-128307784". Lineage: Eukaryota; Metazoa; Chordata; Mammalia; Rodentia; Muridae. The record is from RNAcentral.